Molecule: non-coding RNA, 433 nt
Organism: Labrus bergylta (ballan wrasse)
Lineage: Eukaryota; Metazoa; Chordata; Actinopteri; Labriformes; Labridae
Source: RefSeq, a predicted model, not a curated record
ACUGCAGAACUUGCUGAGAAACAACUCAGACAAGGUCUUGAUCCAGCACAGCCAGACAACAAGAGCUGCUGUGAAAGCACAUGGCCUCCUUUUGUACGAACAUUCAUCUGCAGUUUCUGGCUACAAGUACAGCUGCUGUAAUAUAGGAGGACCGCAUGCUGUGGUAAAACCAGCAAUUUGCUCCCCGCAUCAAAACAAAAGUGCCUUUUUCUACGACCCUCGAACCAAUCACUUCAAACGCACCUUUUUUUUUAAUGCACUAUGACUUUAUGGACUUUGUCAAACAAAUAUCCAUUUUGCACCAAUCGUGCUGUUUUAUCACAGGCUGCUAAGUUCAAUAAUAUCAGCAUGGUCUAUUUUUUGUACGAACACAUUUAGCAUUUUUUGUGUAAAUGUUCAGAGCAUUAUUGCAAUAAAUAAAUACUUAUCAACA